UUGGUGCCUUCGGGAACUCUGAGACAGGUGCUGCAUGGCUGUCGUCAGCUCGUGUUGUGAAAUGUUGGGUUAAGUCCCGCAACGAGCGCAACCCUUAUCCUUUGUUGCCAGCGGUUAGGCCGGGAACUCAAAGGAGACUGCCAGUGAUAAACUGGAGGAAGGUGGGGAUGACGUCAAGUCAUCAUGGCCCUUACGAGUAGGGCUACACACGUGCUACAAUGGCGCAUACAAAGAGAAGCGACCUCGCGAGAGCAAGCGGACCUCAUAAAGUGCGUCGUAGUCCGGAUUGGAGUCUGCAACUCGACUCCAUGAAGUCGGAAUCGCUAGUAAUCGUGGAUCAGAAUGCCACGGUGAAUACGUUCCCGGGCCUUGUACACACCGCCCGUCACACCAUGGGAGUGGGUUGCAAAAGAAGUAGGUAGCUUAACCUUCGGGAGGGCGCUUACCACUUUGUGAUUCAUGACUGGGGUGAAGUCGUAACAAGGUAACCGUAGGGGAACCUGCGGUUGGAUCACCUCCUUACCUUAAAGAA
This 532-nucleotide ribosomal RNA is filed under the name Enterobacter cloacae. RNAcentral's name for it is "bacterial SSU rRNA". It matches the Rfam family "Bacterial small subunit ribosomal RNA", at positions 1011 to 1533 of the family's 1533-position model. The record is from RNAcentral. RNAcentral also lists the same sequence under 2 other names. Lineage: Bacteria; Pseudomonadati; Pseudomonadota; Gammaproteobacteria; Enterobacterales; Enterobacteriaceae.